AUAUUUCGGAACUGAGUCUAGUUCCUUCGAUAUCAGUGUAAUCUAAUAAUCAUAAGUAUGAUAUUACACCAAGACAGCAAAUAUCAUGAUUAUUAGAUUACACUGAUAUCGAAGGAACUAGACUCAGUUCCGAAAUAU
Molecule: non-coding RNA, 138 nt
Organism: Paramuricea clavata
Lineage: Eukaryota; Metazoa; Cnidaria; Anthozoa; Malacalcyonacea; Plexauridae
Source: the annotation of a GenBank genome assembly